Long non-coding RNA from Macaca mulatta (Rhesus monkey), 833 nucleotides. RefSeq lists it as uncharacterized. The record is from RefSeq and is a predicted model, not a curated record. Lineage: Eukaryota; Metazoa; Chordata; Mammalia; Primates; Cercopithecidae.
GUGAACUUUCGCUCAAACCUCACCCUUCGUGUCUACAUUCCUUAAUUCUCUUUGUUGUGAGACAAAGAACUCCAGGUGACACAUCACAAUGAAAGACUGCUACAUUGUGGUACAUUGGUAACAUUGUAACAAUUGGACUGACUUCACAUAUGGGUAGUCACUGAGAAGAGGACAACUGGCUACAAAUAUCAACAGGCUUAUAAUGAUCUUCUUACCUUCAAGUCCAGUUCUUUAAAAGUCCAAAUUUGCUCUGAACUGACUUCAAGCAAGUGCCCACUCUUGAACCAAUUACCGAGGCUGGAGGAUAAAGACACAAAUUGGCCAAACUUGGAUUACCUGCCUUCUUCAUCUUAAAGGAGUCUGUCUCACCUACAAACUUAUGAGGGUCACAGAAAACACCCACAAACUUAUGAGGAUCACGGAAAACACCACUACCCCAACUUAGAGCCAAUCUAUUCAACCUGCAUUGUUAGCAGGUCACCUCUCCUGGAUAUCUGCCUGUAGUGCCCAGUUAAGAAUGGAAGAAGGAGAUUUUUCAGCUUUUGAAGUCUAUGUGCCUUCAAGGAAAUUCUUCAAAAAAGCCAAGAUAUUUUAUGAUGAGGAGCUACAGAACAGGGUACAUGCCCCACAGUCUUCAAUACUUUUUAUUAUUGUUUCAAGAAAACUGGAUAAAUUCAUUCUGAACAUCACAGACUUGAAAGUCAUUCUUACCAUGCCUUUGAGAAUGCCUAUGGUUAUCAUAGCCAUCAUCUCAAAGGAAAAUAAUUCUUUAACUAUUAUUAUAUAUGCAAUUUGGAAUAAAAAAAAUCAAGUUGCAUUGUUAUUGAAAUUAA